This 460-nucleotide ribosomal RNA is filed under the name uncultured bacterium. Its description in RNAcentral is "partial 16S ribosomal RNA". It matches the Rfam family "Bacterial small subunit ribosomal RNA", at positions 338 to 795 of the family's 1533-position model. The record is from RNAcentral.
CCUACGGGUGGCAGCAGUUAGGAAUAUUGGUCAAUGGACGUAAGCCUGAACCAGCCAAGUCGCGUGAGGGAUGAAGGUUCUAUGGAUCGUAAACCUCUUUUAUAAGGGAAUACAGUGUGGGACGUGUCCUGUUUUGUAUGUACCUUAUGAAUAAGGAUCGGCUAACUCCGUGCCAGCAGCCGCGGUAAUACGGAGGAUCCGAGCGUUGUCCGGAUUUAUUUGGUUUAAAGGGUGCGUAGGCGGCCUUUUAAGUCAGCGGUGAAAGUCUGUGGCUCAACCGUAGAAGGGCCGUUGAAACUGGGAGGCUUGAGUAUGUUAGAGGCAGGCGGAAUGCGUGGUGGAGCGGUGAAAUGCUUAGAUAUCACGCAGAACCCCGAUUGCGAAGGCAGCCUGCCAGGCCAUGACUGACGCUGAUGCACGAAAGCGUGGGGAUCAAACAGGAUUAGAUACCCCGGUAGUC